AGUGAACGCUGGCGGUAGGCCUAACACAUGCAAGUCGAACGGCAGCACAGUAAGAGCUUGCUCUUACGGGUGGCGAGUGGCGGACGGGUGAGGAAUGCAUCGGAAUCUACUUUUUCGUGGGGGAUAACGUAGGGAAACUUACGCUAAUACCGCAUACGACCUACGGGUGAAAGCAGGGGAUCUUCGGACCUUGCGCGAUUGAAUGAGCCGAUGUCGGAUUAGCUAGUUGGCGGGGUAAAGGCCCACCAAGGCGACGAUCCGUAGCUGGUCUGAGAGGAUGAUCAGCCACACUGGAACUGAGACACGGACCAGACUCCUACGGGAGGCAGCAGUGGGGAAUAUUGGACAAUGGGCGCAAGCCUGAUCCAGCCAUACCGCGUGGGUGAAGAAGGCCUUCGGGUUGUAAAGCCCUUUUGUUGGGAAAGAAAAGCAGCAGGUUAAUACCCCGCUGUUCUGACGGUACCCAAAGAAUAAGCACCGGCUAACUUCGUG
This 492-nucleotide ribosomal RNA is filed under the name uncultured bacterium. Its description in RNAcentral is "partial 16S ribosomal RNA". It matches the Rfam family "Bacterial small subunit ribosomal RNA", at positions 29 to 507 of the family's 1533-position model. The record is from RNAcentral.